CAAUUGGGCGACCCAAGUGGUGCCAUUCAAUCAAAUUUAGUCACUUGGAAUAUUCAUCUUCGUUUGUCUUCACUCUUCUUCACAUUAUUUGACUCCGUCUCGGCUCUAGGCUUCUACCAACUACAUGUCUGCAUAUGGUGGGGCAUCGAAGUUGAGUUUUUAACUUCACGAUUUAACACUUUCCAAGAGACGAGUUUGAGUCUCUGCAUUCUGGCUCUGAGAUUGAAGAACCAAAAACAAGAAGAAGAAGAAGAAAAACAGAGUCAUGGGGAAGGUUCCAGCACUACCAAUAGUUGGGAUGGUGUUGGCUGAGAGUGCACAAGCUGGGCUAAUUAUAGUGAGCAAAGUAGCCAUGUCUAAUGGCAUGAGCAACCUCAUCUUUCUCUGCUACUCAAACGCUCUUGCAGCCCUUAUCCUCCUCCCAAUUUCCUUAGCCUUCCACAGAUCCGAGCGUCCUCCUCUCACUUUCUCUACCCUCUGUUGGUUCUUCUUGCUUGGUCUAAUUGGAUUCAUGGCGCAGUUUUUUGGGUAUGCUGGGAUUAAUUUGAGCUCUCCUACUCUGAGCACGGCUAUGCUCAACCUCAUUCCAGCUUUUACCUUUAUACUGGCAGUCAUCUUCAGAAUGGAAAGAAUUGAUGGGAGAAGCUCCAGUAGCCUUGCUAAAAUCUUGGGAACAAUAGUUUCAAUUUCAGGGGCUUUCAUUGUUACUCUUUACAAGGGCCCCCCACUUCUGAUGACAUCCUCAACUGAUAUAUUGUCUCAUAACCAACUUUUCUUGGAACAAUCAAACUGGGUCCUUGGAGGAAUGUGUAUUGCGCUUAAUUGUGUGUUGACCUCAUCUUGGCUUAUAGUACAGGCAUCAGUUCUAGAGAAAUACCCCGCAGAGCUGAUUAUGGUAUUUUAUUAUUGCUUCUUUGUGGCUAUUCAAUCUGUAGUAGUCUCUUUGACUGUAGAAAGAGACCUAAGUGCGUGGGAAUUGAAGCCUAAAAUCAGGUUGAUCGCUGUUCUAUACUCGGGAGUCUUUGGCUCAGCAUUCCAGGUUGGUGUAUGUACUUGGUGCCUUCACAGGACAGGGCCUGUUUUUGUAGCUAUGUUCAAGCCUUUGGGGAUUGUCAUUACAGUUUUCGUUGGUGUCACCUUCUUAGGAGAUACUUUCUACCUUGGAAGUUUGAUAGGAGCAAUUGUUAUUGUCAUUGGAUUUUAUUCUGUGAUGUGGGGAAAAGCAAAAGAAGAGAAGAUGGAUGAUGAUGCAGGGGCAAGGAGUGUGGCAUCAAGUAAACAACGGGCCCCUUUAUUGCAGAGCCAUAUUGAAGAAAUAUAGAAGUUUCUUUGCAGUACAUCGCCCUGUGAGGUCUCUCUUGCCAAAAAACAUGGGUACUCUGUUGCUUUUGUCUUAGUUCUUUUAAAAUGCUACCCUUUCCAUCAUUUUUGAAAACUGGGAUUGGUUAUCGUGGGAGUUGUUUUGCUCAGGCCAUGCUUCUACUCUUUUUUCUUUUUCCUGGAAGAUGGUAAUCCUGCAUACAUCCAAAGGCAGUUUGUUGGUGCAAACUGAGCAUAGUUGCAAGUUUGCUGUAAAGGUACAAAUACCAUGAGAAGGUCAUGAACAUGUGGAGCAUGAUCAAAGAUAUCAGCAGCAUGAGUUGAAUAUUGAGUUUGCAGGGUCAAAGCUGCCUCAAGAGCAACAUGUCAGUGAGGAGCAGCUCCUUUGCUUGGAAGUGAAAUCUACUCUUUCUCUUUGGUUUUUAGAUGUAUGAUAUCCUUCAUUACUUGUCGUAAAUAAGGUAAUAAUGUUGGAAUCAGGCAUUGUGGGGAGAAAAUGAUGGCAAAGGCCAAAGUACUUGAACAUAUUUUCAACUGUGUAAUCAAAUACAAUAUAAGAAUCUUAUAAUCAUAUAUCAAGAGCUUUCAUACA
Molecule: non-coding RNA, 1912 nt
Organism: Prunus avium (sweet cherry)
Lineage: Eukaryota; Viridiplantae; Streptophyta; Magnoliopsida; Rosales; Rosaceae
Source: RefSeq, a predicted model, not a curated record